Molecule: long non-coding RNA, 205 nt
Filed under: Jatropha curcas
Lineage: Eukaryota; Viridiplantae; Streptophyta; Magnoliopsida; Malpighiales; Euphorbiaceae
Description: long non-coding RNA (JCUR_LNC003381)
Source: RNAcentral
GCAAGGAGCUCGCUGCUCAAUCCAAACGGGUUAAGGGCACCCACAUACAUUUUCAAAUGAGUCUUAGGACAAGUGGUUCCAUCAAAUUUGUCCAUGUUGGGCAUUUUGAAUUUUGUGGGCAGUCUUGCUUCGGGGAACAAGGACAAGGAGUCCAUGUCCACCACUUCCUUGUGGGUCUUAAGGGCAGUAACAGAUCUUUCCAGCA